AUUCUCUUGCUGGCUGUCCACCAGGGUCACUCUCAGCUCCUCGGGGCCAUACCUCUCCAUGGGCAGUCCAGAACAUCACUGUUUUCUUCAUCGAGGCCAGCAGGAGCAUCUCUUUCUUCUGCUUUUACAGGGCUCGUCUGAUUAGUGUAUGCAGGUUUUUCUAUUUCUAAGCUGAAUGUGAUCUCCUUCAAGGAGCAAGGAAAGGAAGCCUGGGUAGUAGAGAGUGAUGUCACACAAAGCCUGCACCCAGAUUGGGUAUCCCAAUGGGAGAAAAUGGAAAAAUUUAUAAACAAAGAUCCUGAGGACCCCAGCUUCCAAGAUGACUGGAAAUGUAAAGGCACAUUCAAGAGACAACAAAGAAAUAGGAAGGAAAUUCCAGUCAAGUCAUACUCACCCGUGAAGAAAUACCCACUUGGAGACAGCAAACAUCCCAUAACGUGCUUCAGAAAGUUCUAUCUGGAAACUGGCCCUGAGCUAACAUCCGUGCCCAUCUUCCUCUACUUUAUAUGUGGGACACCUACCACAGCAUGGCUAGCCAAGCGGUGCCAUGUCCAUACCCAGGAUACAAACCGGUGAACCCUGAGCUGCCAAAGCAGAACGUGCGCACUUAACCACUGCACCACCGGGCCGGCCCCCCGCCAUAAGGCUCUUUUAAUCAGAAAAUUCAUAUUGAAGAAUGGAACUUGGACCACACCAGGUAAUCAAAGGAUGUGACUUAGGCUGGGCUCUGUAUCACAGUAUCAGCGUGACCUCCAGAGGGGCUGGAGACUGAGGAGAGCCACAUGAGGAACCCAUCAUGUCGACGUGACGGAGCCCAAUAAAGAAUGACACCAGGGGUCGGGGGCUUCCCUGGCAGGCGAUACUCUGUGCAUACUGUCACACAUGGCUGGGGAGGUGUUUAUGCUGUCCAUGACUCCAACACGGGAAUGGAAGCUCUGCAUCUAGAACCCUCCUGGACUCUGCCCCAUGCUGGCUGAUUGUAAUGUACAUCUUUUCACUGUAAUAAACCAUAACCACAAAUAUAAAAGUUUUUUGUGUGUGUGUACGAGGAAGAUUGGCCCUGAGCUAACAUCUGUGCUAAUCUUCCUCUAUUUUGUAUGUGGGAUGCCGCCAUAGCGUGGCUUGAUGAGCAGUGCUAGGUCCGUGCCCAGAAUCCAAACCUGCAAACCCCAGGCCACCAAAGCAGAGAGCAUGAACUUAACUACUAUGCUACCCAGCUGGCCCCAGUAUAAAAGUUUUUAGUAAGUUCUGUGAGUCCUUCUAGUGAGUUAUUGAACCUGAGGGUGAUCUUUG
Molecule: long non-coding RNA, 1293 nt
Filed under: Equus asinus (donkey)
Lineage: Eukaryota; Metazoa; Chordata; Mammalia; Perissodactyla; Equidae
Description: lncRNA (ENSEASG00005030391.1)
Source: RNAcentral